This 217-nucleotide unclassified non-coding RNA is filed under the name plant metagenome. Its description in RNAcentral is "partial contains small subunit ribosomal RNA and internal transcribed spacer 1". The record is from RNAcentral.
AAGUCGUAACAAGGUUUCUAUAGGUAAACCUAUAGAAGGAUUAUUACUACAACUAUUAGGCGUUGCAAGAACCCUCGCUUGCAGGGUCACGCUACUAAUCACCCUUUGUCUACUCUACCGCCCGUUAUUUCCUUAGUAGGCUUGCCUGCUACUAAGAAACACGCAAACCCUUGCAUGCAAGUAUCUAAACCUCUAAUAACAACCUAACUAUUUACAA